This 233-nucleotide ribosomal RNA is filed under the name uncultured bacterium. RNAcentral describes it as "partial 16S ribosomal RNA". It matches the Rfam family "Archaeal small subunit ribosomal RNA", at positions 745 to 977 of the family's 1478-position model. The record is from RNAcentral.
UCCUGGCUGUAAAUUAUGCGCACUUGGCGUUACAAAACCUUCGGGGUUUUGUAGUGCCGUAGCGAAGGUGUUAAGUGCGCCGCCUGGGGAGUACGGCCGCAAGGCUUAAACUUAAACCAAUUGGCGGGGGAGCGCCACAAGGGGUGGAUGUUGCGGUUCAAUUGGAUACAACGCCUGGAAUAUCACCGGAGCGGACAGCAGGAUGAAGGCCAAGCUGAAGACUUUGCCAGACA